AGGGAAUCUUCCGCAAUGGACGAAAGUCUGACGGAGCAACGCCGCGUGAGUGAUGAAGGUUUUCGGAUCGUAAAGCUCUGUUGCCAGGGAAGAACGUCCUGUAGAGUAACUGCUACAGGAGUGACGGUACCUGAGAAGAAAGCCCCGGCUAACUACGUGCCAGCAGCCGCGGUAAUACGUAGGGGGCAAGCGUUGUCCGGAAUUAUUGGGCGUAAAGCGCGCGCAGGCGGCUGUUUAAGUCUGGUGUUUAAUCCUGGGGCUCAACCCCGGGUCGCACUGGAAACUGGACGGCUUGAGUGCAGAAGAGGAGAGUGGAAUUCCACGUGUAGCGGUGAAAUGCGUAGAGAUGUGGAGGAACACCAGUGGCGAAGGCGGCCUGCUGGGCUUUAACUGACGCUGAAGCACGAAAGCAUGGGUAGCAAAC
This 424-nucleotide ribosomal RNA is filed under the name uncultured bacterium. RNAcentral's name for it is "bacterial SSU rRNA". It matches the Rfam family "Bacterial small subunit ribosomal RNA", at positions 356 to 773 of the family's 1533-position model. The record is from RNAcentral.